This 253-nucleotide ribosomal RNA is filed under the name uncultured bacterium. Its description in RNAcentral is "partial 16S ribosomal RNA". It matches the Rfam family "Bacterial small subunit ribosomal RNA", at positions 524 to 776 of the family's 1533-position model. The record is from RNAcentral.
UACGAAGGGGGCUAGCGUUGCUCGGAAUCACUGGGCGUAAAGGGUGCGUAGGCGGGUCUUUAAGUCAGGGGUGAAAUCCUGGAGCUCAACUCCAGAACUGCCUUUGAUACUGAGGAUCUUGAGUUCGGGAGAGGUGAGUGGAACUGCGAGUGUAGAGGUGAAAUUCGUAGAUAUUCGCAAGAACACCAGUGGCGAAGGCGGCUCACUGGCCCGAUACUAACGCUGAGGCACGAAAGCGUGGGGAGCAAACAGG